This 174-nucleotide non-coding RNA is filed under the name Candidatus Cloacimonadota bacterium. Its description in RNAcentral is "Candidatus Cloacimonetes bacterium 6S RNA". It matches the Rfam family "6S / SsrS RNA". From Rfam's summary of the family: E. coli 6S RNA was the first non coding RNA to be sequenced, but its function was unknown until recently. It consists of 184 nucleotides that fold into an extended hairpin structure with a large single-stranded internal bulge. Lineage: Bacteria; Pseudomonadati; Candidatus Cloacimonadota. The record is from RNAcentral.
UUUUACCGGCGAUAUUCGUGAUGGUAAUUUGUUCUUACUCACUUAAAUUAAGGAGUGCUGACUCGAUGUUGCUCACAUGCCGGGCUUGUUCCCGGACUUGAAAGACAUAUGAUAGGCGUUCCACCUUGUUUUCGAGGUAUAAGACAAAAAUCACACGGUAUCGCCAGGUAUAUU